AUUUUAAUUCUCACACCCACUUCAGGGGUCCUAAAGCAUCUUUGGUGUCUAUGUGCCAUCCAACUCUCAUUUGUAGCUCCAAGAAGCUCUAGCCUAUGCAGUGACCAUUCCUGAGUAAAACAAUCCCAGCAAAAAUGAUAAACCAUGUGGAGUGUAAUGAAUAGGCUCUAGAUCUGGUGCUGAAAAGGGGGGAUGUCCACCUCAAACAUAUGAAGCGUGCCCCUAGCAGAACACAGAUGAGAACAAUUUGUUCCAACAGCCAUGAAAGCAGAUGAAGCAGGCACCAGAGAUGCCAAGAUCAUGACUGCAUCCCAAGCCAUCACCAGUCAUCUCGACUUCUGUCUUACCACAGGGCUUCAACGAUUCUGGGAGAGAGAGGAAGGCUAACAACUUUGUGCAACUCUGCCUUAAAACCGAUUCCUGUUCAAGUCAAGACAUCACCCUGUGACGUCACUAGUCCUUUUCAAAAAGAAGGACAAACUACCAAACAGCCUCAGUAAUGGUUAUAAUGGGUUUUUGCCUAGAGUGGGUUUGUAGUGAUGAAACUAUUACAUGUAAAGAUCUACUCCAGGAGACACAACAAUAAGCACAGCCUUGUCCUUCGGCCAAGUGGGUUGGAACCUGAAGGGUAUUCGGAGACACCAGCCUAUGGAGAAAUUGAGGCAUACAGAGGAAAAAAUGAUCAUCUACUGGUGAAAGUAGAGUCAGAGUUAGAAAGCUACAUCCUAAGAAUCAGAAACUCCAGAUGAGGACAUGGUGGAAUGAUUUGUCCAAGGGCCCAUGAAGAGUAAAGAAGAGAAUCAGAAUUCACAGAAACAUCUUUGGGGUCUAACAAUGCAGUCUCCAGGAGUUCAGAAGAGUCUUAGUGAAUCAGAGAAAGCUGACCAACCUCAAAACAAGUAGUCCAUUCUUCGGUUUCCAUGCUGCUCUGCUGCUGGGACCUCUACUUAUACAGGAAAGAUUAUAUAGUUACUCUACCUAGUCUGAAAUUGCAACAUAUAAUCUUCAAUCUGAUGGGGUCGAGCUGAUCCCCAGAGUGGAUGAUGGGGUGAAGUUGACUGCCAAUUCCCCUGUGUUAUAUAGUUCAGGUGUCAGACGUCCUCUGAACCCAGACAUACCUGGAUGGUCCUAUGGGUAGGUUCUGCACACAGAUGUCUAAUUACCUUAUAUCAUUUUUCUAAAUGAAUUCAGCCAAGCAAAUGAAAUUUAAAAAAAAAUUAAAACACGUUGUAAGCAGCCUAUCCCCCUAGGCCACUGUCUGCAGUGAAUUAAAUAGAACAUAUUUCCCAAGACCACAAGCCUAUUGAAAUAGUUUCCCAGUGAUAGGCAUUGAACUACACAGUCAAGAUCCUAGGGGCCAAAAGCACACUUCUGAAUCCAAAGAAAAGUCACAGAAAACGGCUAACUCUAGGCUUUGUCAUAAUGGCUCAUUGUCUUGGAGGCUGGAGGGAAAUUUGUCAAUGCACACCAGAUUUUCAGGGGAGAGUGGGCAUUAUAUCUGAUAUUAAGCAACUGACCUGAAAUUAAUAUAGCAGGGCAUGUUUGGAUGAACAUCUCUUUAAAAUGAGGGGCCUAGGAGGGGUAUAAGAGUCAAGAGAGAGGGGUGGGAGAAAGGUUAGCAAAGCUUCCCCAAAACAAAGAAACCAUUACAGUAAAAGAGAUGCUUAG
Long non-coding RNA from Monodelphis domestica (gray short-tailed opossum), 1668 nucleotides. Lineage: Eukaryota; Metazoa; Chordata; Mammalia; Didelphimorphia; Didelphidae. The record is from Ensembl.